RNAcentral lists this transfer RNA (72 nucleotides) under Hordeum vulgare. RNAcentral's name for it is "tRNA-OTHER". Lineage: Eukaryota; Viridiplantae; Streptophyta; Magnoliopsida; Poales; Poaceae. The record is from RNAcentral.
GUAGCAGUAAUGUAGUGGUAGCGCAUCCUCUCUGCACCCAGCAGGUCGUGGGUUCGAUCCCCAGCGGCUCCU